AGCAUGUUUAGACAGAACAGGGGAGGACAAGGUGCCUGACUGGGUGGGAGUGGCAGGAGGGGAAGGCUUCCUGGGAAGAGAAGGGGAGAUGAGUUUUGUGGUGGGGGUGCUGGAAGAAAGCCUAGGCGAGCCCGUCCUUCCUCCCUGCUUUCUCCAAGGUCAUCUGCAUUCAGAGCCUGGAAUCAGUGGGAGUGAGGAGCUGCUUGUGUAAACCCAGGGCUGGGGCUUCACAGCACCGUCCACUAGACCUUCUGCAAGGAAGGAAAUGCGCCAUCAUCUGUGCUGCCCAACGGGACGGCCCUGGCCACACUUUAAUCCUGGCUCGUGCAACUGGGAAACUGAAUUUUUAAAAAGAAUUUAAAUUUAAAUAACCACAGGAGGCGCUUGGCUACCAUAUUGGACACGGCAUACAAUACAGAUGGCUAGGGAAAGUGAGAGGUCACAGCGCCCUCCAAGUACCUUGUGCUCCUAUGAAGAGGGAGCAGCUUUCUGAAAUUUUUAACACCUUUCCAGAUGUGCUGAAGAGAUCUGUCCUAGAGAUGUUGCAGGCGUGAUAUUUUCAUGGCAUUUUAAAGUAUCACUGGAUCCGUCUUCCGACGUUUUAAAGAAAUCCCUUAGGGGGGAUAAGAUGCCUGUUGACUAAUUAAACUCAGUAACAAGCCAU
Molecule: long non-coding RNA, 664 nt
Organism: Homo sapiens (human)
Lineage: Eukaryota; Metazoa; Chordata; Mammalia; Primates; Hominidae
Exons: 3
Source: RefSeq, a predicted model, not a curated record